RNAcentral lists this ribosomal RNA (253 nucleotides) under uncultured bacterium. RNAcentral describes it as "partial 16S ribosomal RNA". It matches the Rfam family "Bacterial small subunit ribosomal RNA", at positions 524 to 776 of the family's 1533-position model. The record is from RNAcentral.
UACGUAGGUGGCGAGCGUUAUCCGGAUUUAUUGGGUUUAAAGGGAGCGUAGGCGGUGUUGUAAGUCAGUGGUGAAAGUCAGUCGCUUAACGAUUGGAUUGCCAUUGAUACUGCAAUGCUAGAGUAUAGUAGAGGUAGGAAGAAUUGACGGUGUAGCGGUGAAAUGCAUAGAUAUCGUCAAGAAUACCGAAUGCGAAGGCAUCUUACUGGACUAUAACUGACGCUGAGGCUCGAAAGUAUGGGAAUCAAACAGG